RNAcentral lists this ribosomal RNA (443 nucleotides) under Enterococcus faecium. RNAcentral describes it as "partial 23S ribosomal RNA". It matches the Rfam family "Bacterial large subunit ribosomal RNA", at positions 1 to 439 of the family's 2925-position model. The record is from RNAcentral. Lineage: Bacteria; Bacillati; Bacillota; Bacilli; Lactobacillales; Enterococcaceae.
GAUAAGGUUAAGUGAAUAAGGGCGCACGGUGGAUGCCUUGGCACUAGGAGCCGAUGAAGGACGGGACUAACACCGAUAUGCUUUGGGGAGCUGUACGUAAGCUAUGAUCCAGAGAUUUCCGAAUGGGGGAACCCAGCAUCUUUAAUAGGAUGUUACGAUUGUGUGAAUACAUAGCACAUUCGAGGUAGACGCAGAGAACUGAAACAUCUAAGUACCUGCAGGAAGAGAAAGAAAAUUCGAUUCCCUGAGUAGCGGCGAGCGAAACGGGAAAAGCCCAAACCAACAAGCUUGCUUGUUGGGGUUGUAGGACUCCAAUAUGGUCGUUCUUUCAGAUAGUCGAAUGACUUGGAAAAGUCAGUCAAAGAGGGUAAAAACCCCGUAGACGAAAUGUGGAAGACACCUAGGAGGAUCCUGAGUACGGCGGAACACGAGAAAUUCCGUCG